RNAcentral lists this long non-coding RNA (902 nucleotides) under Chinchilla lanigera (long-tailed chinchilla). RNAcentral's name for it is "lncRNA (ENSCLAG00000028407.1)". Lineage: Eukaryota; Metazoa; Chordata; Mammalia; Rodentia; Chinchillidae. The record is from RNAcentral.
CCUGUUCCUCCAAGGCCAUUACUCAGAUACAGACCUGGACUUCCGUCUGCCCAGGCAGGGGACAUGGGGACAGUGCCCUGGCUUCCUUCUUCAUUAGAUACUCCCUGGCCUCCCUCCAAUUGGCACGGAUCACUCGGUGCCCUUUUGUCCUCCGGCCUGCGGUCCAUCUCCUCGCCUUUCCCUUUUAUCUUCCGGUGCGUGCAUGCUGAAGAAGGAAUGACACCAACCCAGCAAACCCAGACAGAGACCCACGGACCUAGGUGCCUGCAGACACACACACAGCAAGACACAAAUACAACUCAGCCAGAAACCGGAGCACCGCAGCCUCGGGGAGAUGUGUGCUGUGCCUGUCUCUUGGGUCACACACACCACAGGAGACGUGGGACACCUCCACCCCAUGGCAGCCUUCCAGCAGUGUCCCUGAUGUCCUCCUCCAUCUCGCCUAUUCAGAGCCCUGUUAAUGCAGGAGGUGGAGGGGGUGACCAAAGACCUGCCAGCCCCUUCUACACUGAAUAGGGGACCCUUUGCUCCCAGCCCCAAAAUAAAUACAUCAGCAUGCACACUAUUAAUAGGAACAGAGCCAGGGCUGGCUGUGUGCCCUAACAGUGCGGCAAAGCUGGUGUGACCCCUCUAUCCCCCACCUCCAGGCCCUGACCAUCUCCUGCGUAGGAGCACUGGAUCCUUCUCACCCAGGUGGCCUCAGCACCAGGCAACCCUGGCCUGGCCACCAAUGUUGCCUCACGCCUAUAUUUCCUGGCCAACUCUGUAGCCUCCGCACAAGCAGGACCGGAGGAGGACAGCCCCACCAGAGCCCUGGAGGCCCGGGCAGCAGAAGGCCCAGAGCCAGGGAUCCUGAUCUUCCCCUGCCUCCGGCACCCACAUGGUCACAGCCCCCGCCUCAG